GACGAACGCUGGCGGCGUGCUUAACACAUGCAAGUCGAACGGAAAGGCCCUGCUUUUGUGAGGUGCUCGAGUGGCGAACGGGUGAGUAACACGUGAGUAACCUGCCCUUGACUUUGGGAUAACUUCAGGAAACUGGGGCUAAUACCGGAUAGGAGCUCCUGCUGCAUGGUGGGGGUUGGAAAGUUUCGGCGGUUGGGGAUGGACUCGCGGCUUAUCAGCUUGUUGGUGGGGUAGUGGCUUACCAAGGCUUUGACGGGUAGCCGGCCUGAGAGGGUGACCGGCCACAUUGGGACUGAGAUACGGCCCAGACUCCUACGGGAGGCAGCAGUGGGGAAUAUUGCACAAUGGGCGGAAGCCUGAUGCAGCAACGCCGCGUGCGGGAUGACGGCCUUCGGGUUGUAAACCGCUUUCGCCUGUGACGAAGUGUGAGUGACGGUAAUGGGUAAAGAAGCACCGGCUAACUACGUG
RNAcentral lists this ribosomal RNA (468 nucleotides) under uncultured bacterium. RNAcentral's name for it is "partial 16S ribosomal RNA". It matches the Rfam family "Bacterial small subunit ribosomal RNA", at positions 28 to 507 of the family's 1533-position model. The record is from RNAcentral.